RNAcentral lists this ribosomal RNA (166 nucleotides) under Tozzia alpina. RNAcentral describes it as "5.8S ribosomal RNA". It matches the Rfam family "5.8S ribosomal RNA". From Rfam's summary of the family: 5.8S ribosomal RNA (5.8S rRNA) is a component of the large subunit of the eukaryotic ribosome. It is transcribed by RNA polymerase I as part of the 45S precursor that also contains 18S and 28S rRNA. RNAcentral also lists the same sequence under 6 other names. Lineage: Eukaryota; Viridiplantae; Streptophyta; Magnoliopsida; Lamiales; Orobanchaceae. The record is from RNAcentral.
AAAGUCUAAACGACUCUCGGCAACGGAUAUCUCGGCUCUCGCAUCGAUGAAGAACGUAGCGAAAUGCGAUACUUGGUGUGAAUUGCAGAAUCCCGUGAACCAUCGAGUCUUUGAACGCAAGUUGCGCCCGAAACCAUUCGGUUGAGGGCACGUCUGCCUGGGCGUC